This is a non-coding RNA of Capra hircus (goat), 341 nucleotides long. Lineage: Eukaryota; Metazoa; Chordata; Mammalia; Artiodactyla; Bovidae. The record is from the annotation of a RefSeq genome assembly.
AUGAAGACACCCAUUGGAGCUUUAAUCAUGUUCUUAUGGCUGCAGCUGGACUGUGUCAGCCUUGGGAACAAGGUGGAGCAGAGUCCUUCUACCCUGAGUGUCCAGGAGGGAAACAGCUCUGUUAUCACCUGCACUUAUACAGACACAGCUUCAGACUACUUCCCUUGGUAUAAGCAAGAACCUGGGAAAGGUCCCCAGCUCCUUGUAGCUAUUCAUUCAAAUAUGGGUGAAAAAAAAGACCAGAGACUGACUGUUUUAUUGAAUAAGACCGCCAAACAUCUCUCCCUGCACAUCGCAACCAUCCAGCCUGGAGACUCGGCUGUCUACCUCUGUGCAGCAAG